GACGAACGCUGGCGGCGUGCCUAAUACAUGCAAGUAGAACGCACAGUUUAUACCGUAGCUUGCUACACCAUAGACUGUGAGUUGCGAACGGGUGAGUAACGCGUAGGUAACCUGCCUGGUAGCGGGGGAUAACUAUUGGAAACGAUAGCUAAUACCGCAUAAUAUUAAUUAUUGCAUGAUAAUUAAAUGAAAGGUGCAAUUGCACCACUACCAGAUGGACCUGCGUUGUAUUAGCUAGUAGGUGAGGUAACGGCUCACCUAGGCGACGAUACAUAGCCGACCUGAGAGGGUGGUCGGCCACACUGGGACUGAGACACGGCCCAGACUCCUACGGGAGGCAGCAGGAGGGAAUCUUCGGCAAUGGACGAAAGUCUGACCGAGCAACGCCGCGUGAGUGAAGAAGGUUUUCGGAUCGUAAAGCUCUGUUGUAAGAGAAGAACGGGUGUGAGAGUGGAAAGUUCACACUGUGACGGUAUCUUACCAGAAAGGGACGGCUAACUACGUG
This 505-nucleotide ribosomal RNA is filed under the name uncultured bacterium. Its description in RNAcentral is "partial 16S ribosomal RNA". It matches the Rfam family "Bacterial small subunit ribosomal RNA", at positions 28 to 507 of the family's 1533-position model. The record is from RNAcentral.